Molecule: ribosomal RNA, 320 nt
Filed under: uncultured soil bacterium
Lineage: Bacteria
Description: bacterial SSU rRNA
Rfam family: Bacterial small subunit ribosomal RNA
Source: RNAcentral
AGAUUGAACGCUGGCGGCAGGCCUAACACAUGCAAGUCGAGCGGCAGCACGGGUACUUGUAUCUGGUGGCGAGCGGCGGACGGGUGAGUAAUGCCUAGGAAUCUGCCUGGUAGUGGGGGAUAACGCUCGGAAACGGACGCUAAUACCGCAUACGUCCUACGGGAGAAAGCGGGGGACCUUCGGGCCUCGCGCCAUUAGAUGAGCCUAGGUCGGAUUAGCUAGUUGGUGAGGUAAUGGCUCACCAAGGCGACGAUCCGUAACUGGUCUGAGAGGAUGAUCAGUCACACUGGAACUGAGACACGGUCCAGACUCCUACGGGA